GACGAACGCUGGCGGUGUGCUUCACACAUGCAAGUCGAACGAGGUAGCAAUACCUAGUGGCGGACGGGUGAGUAACGCGUGGGAAUCUGCCUUUAGAUGGGGGAUAACGGGUCGAAAGACUCGCUAAUACCGCAUAUGACGAAAGUUGAAAGGAGUAAUCCGUCUAAAGAUGAGCCCGCGUCCGAUUAGCUAGUUGGUAGAGUAAAAGCCUACCAAGGCGACGAUCGGUAGCUGGUCUGAGAGGAUGAUCAGCCACAAUGGGAC
RNAcentral lists this ribosomal RNA (264 nucleotides) under uncultured bacterium. RNAcentral describes it as "partial 16S ribosomal RNA". It matches the Rfam family "Bacterial small subunit ribosomal RNA", at positions 28 to 319 of the family's 1533-position model. The record is from RNAcentral.